This 468-nucleotide ribosomal RNA is filed under the name uncultured bacterium. RNAcentral's name for it is "partial 16S ribosomal RNA". It matches the Rfam family "Bacterial small subunit ribosomal RNA", at positions 28 to 507 of the family's 1533-position model. The record is from RNAcentral.
GAUGAACGCUGGCGGCGUGCUUAACACAUGCAAGUCGAACGGAAAGGCCCAAGCUUGCUUGGGUACUCGAGUGGCGAACGGGUGAGUAACACGUGGGUGAUCUGCCCUGCACUUCGGGAUAAGCCUGGGAAACUGGGUCUAAUGCCGGAUAGGACGAUGGUUUGGAUGCCAUUGUGGAAAGUUUUUUCGGUGUGGGAUGAGCUCGCGGCCUAUCAGCUUGUUGGUGGGGUAAUGGCCUACCAAGGCGUCGACGGGUAGCCGGCCUGAGAGGGUGUACGGCCACAUUGGGACUGAGAUACGGCCCAGACUCCUACGGGAGGCAGCAGUGGGGAAUAUUGCACAAUGGGCGCAAGCCUGAUGCAGCGACGCCGCGUGGGGGAUGACGGCCUUCGGGUUGUAAACUCCUUUCGCUAGGGACGAAGCGUUUUUGUGACGGUACCUGGAGAAGAAGCACCGGCUAACUACGUG